UGCGUAGGCGGGUCUUUAAGUCAGGGGUGAAAUCCUGGAGCUCAACUCCAGAACUGCCUUUGAUACUGAGGAUCUUGAGUUCGGGAGAGGUGAGUGGAACUGCGAGUGUAGAGGUGAAAUUCGUAGAUAUUCGCAAGAACACCAGUGGCGAAGGCGGCUCACUGGCCCGAUACUGACGCUGAGGACGAAAGCGUGGGGGAGCAAACA
RNAcentral lists this ribosomal RNA (207 nucleotides) under uncultured bacterium. RNAcentral's name for it is "partial 16S ribosomal RNA". It matches the Rfam family "Bacterial small subunit ribosomal RNA", at positions 568 to 774 of the family's 1533-position model. The record is from RNAcentral.